GAACGAAGAAUCAUCACCUGCAGAGAAGGAGAAGGGGAAGAAAAAAACAAAAACAACACCAAAAAAAACACAACCAAAAAAGAAAAAAGUUGUUGUGGAGGAUUCACCUCCUAAAGAAGAUCAAUACUUUGACGGUGAGACAUAUGAAAUAUCAAGUGACGAACUAGAUGAAUGGCUA
Non-coding RNA from Arachis ipaensis, 178 nucleotides. NCBI's taxonomy places the organism in Eukaryota, Viridiplantae, Streptophyta, Magnoliopsida, Fabales, Fabaceae. The record is from RefSeq and is a predicted model, not a curated record.